This 494-nucleotide ribosomal RNA is filed under the name uncultured bacterium. RNAcentral's name for it is "partial 16S ribosomal RNA". It matches the Rfam family "Bacterial small subunit ribosomal RNA", at positions 28 to 507 of the family's 1533-position model. The record is from RNAcentral.
GACGAACGCUGGCGGCGCGCUUAACACAUGCAAGUCGAACGGAAAGGCCUGCUUUCCCUUGUGGAUUGCGGGUACUCGAGUGGCGAACGGGUGAGUAACACGUGAGUGAUCUGCCCCCAACUUGGGGAUAAGCCUGGGAAACUGGGUCUAAUUCCCGAUAGGACUGCAGGGUGGUGCCUGUGGUGGAAAACGAUUUUCUAGUGGUUGGGGAUGAGCUCGCGGCCUAUCAGCUUGUUGGUGGGGUAAUGGCCUACCAAGGCGGCGACGGGUAGCCGGCCUGGGAGGGUGGACGGCCACAUUGGGACUGAGAUACGGCCCAGACUCCUACGGGAGGCAGCAGUGGGGAAUAUUGCACAAUGGGCGGAAGCCUGAUGCAGCGACGCCGCGUGGGGGAUGACGGCCUUCGGGUUGUAAACUCCUUUCGACCGCGAGGAAGCCACCUGGUUGGAAGGGUGGUGACGGUAGUGGUAGAAGAAGCACCGGCUAACUACGUG